GCUCAGUCGGUAGAGCAUGAGACUCUUAA
This 29-nucleotide non-coding RNA is filed under the name Drosophila melanogaster (fruit fly). Lineage: Eukaryota; Metazoa; Arthropoda; Insecta; Diptera; Drosophilidae. RNAcentral also lists the same sequence under 5 other names. The record is from RNAcentral.